UUCACUGACUGGCCGACUCUUGCAGGUUGGACACAAUUCUCCCUUGGAUCCAGACUUUGAUCCUGGCUCAGGAUGAACGCUGGCGGCGUGCCUAAUACAUGCAAGUCGAACGCGAGCACUUGUGCUCGAGUGGCGAACGGGUGAGUAAUACAUAAGUAACCUGCCCUAGACAGGGGGAUAACUAUUGGAAACGAUAGCUAAGACCGCAUAGGUACGGACACUGCAUGGUGACCGUAUUAAAAGUGCCUCAAAGCACUGGUAGAGGAUGGACUUAUGGCGCAUUAGCUGGUUGGCGGGGUAACGGCCCACCAAGGCGACGAUGCGUAGCCGACCUGAGAGGGUGACCGGCCACACUGGGACUGAGACACGGCCCAGACUCCUACGGGAGGCAGCAGUAGGGAAUUUUCGGCAAUGGGGGAAACCCUGACCGAGCAACGCCGCGUGAAGGAAGAAGGUUUACGGAUUGUAAACUUCUGUUAUAAAGGAAGAACGGCGGCUACAGGAAAUGGUAGCCGAGUGACGGUACUUUAUUAGAAAGCCACGGCUAACUACGUGCCAGCAGCCGCGGUAAUACGUAGGUGGCAAGCGUUAUCCGGAAUUAUUGGGCGUAAAGAGGGAGCAGGCGGCAGCAAGGGUCUGUGGUGAAAGCCUGAAGCUUAACUUCAGUAAGCCAUAGAAACCAGGCAGCUAGAGUGCAGGAGAGGAUCGUGGAAUUCCAUGUGUAGCGGUGAAAUGCGUAGAUAUAUGGAGGAACACCAGUGGCGAAGGCGACGAUCUGGGCCUGCAACUGACGCUCAGUCCCGAAAGCGUGGGGGGAGCAAAUAGGAUUAGAUACCCUAGUAGUCCACGCCGGUAAACGAUGAGUACUAAGUGGUUGGAUGUCAAAGUUCAGUGCUGCAGUUAACGCAAUAAGGUACUCCCGCCUGGAGUAGUACGUUCGCAAGAAUGCAACCUCAAAUGAAUCGAACGGAAGGMCGAAUCAGGAAA
This 987-nucleotide ribosomal RNA is filed under the name uncultured bacterium. Its description in RNAcentral is "bacterial SSU rRNA". It matches the Rfam family "Bacterial small subunit ribosomal RNA", at positions 1 to 933 of the family's 1533-position model. The record is from RNAcentral.